Molecule: long non-coding RNA, 952 nt
Organism: Struthio camelus australis
Lineage: Eukaryota; Metazoa; Chordata; Aves; Struthioniformes; Struthionidae
Source: RefSeq, a predicted model, not a curated record
AUAGCGUCUUCUGGGGUGGAAGCACUGGGGUGUGUUUGGAGGUGCUCUGGGAUGAUAACCCCAAACAGCAGGGCCUGGAAAUUAGCAGCAUCACAUAACUUCAGUGAUGGAUGAUCAAACUGGCCCUUGCAGAUAUUGCAAAUUGCAUAAGAAGUAAAAUGACUUGAUUCCAAUAGAGGAGGCGCAUUUAGGAUUCUGAAUCUGAAACGUGGAGGAUCCAGCAUAACACAAGCAACUUGUUCCCUCCGUUACUCUGUGGGGGCGUGCAAAGUAAAAGAGACAGAGAACCGCAGCUGCAGAGCGCGCAGGCUGAAUCUGGCAGUUCUGUGGGUCGCCUCGCGUAGUCCUCCGGAGCAGCACCCACAGUCUUGACAGGUCUUGACCGUGCUGGAGCCAAGGAGCAACAAGGGAAGAUGAAGGCAAAACUUGCCGGCUGUAUUAACGCUUUGCAGAAGUAGAUUUACCAGCUCCGCCUAUAUAUCGAUUUGCCUCAGCGUUUGCAGGAAUUUGGGUGUAUCUGCAACUUCACAAGCCGUUACAGUGGAGUGCCUCGUGCCACUCUCUGCCGCUCAUGGGUGAACGACCAAGGAAAGAUGAAAGCGAGGGGCCAGCACUAAAUGCAAGACUGUAGGCAUGGCUAUUUCCCGGACCAGUUCUCCCCCCAAUUAGCGGUACAGCAUCAACAGCGCGUGGAUGAGUCAGGGUGCGAUAGUGCGAGUUCUCCUCCUUUAGCCUUACGCGCAGCGCUGGCAGGGACAUUCACGUCGUUAUUGUUGUCCAUUCCCGCACUCCUCCUCCUCCCCCCCGGGCCUGCCCUGCCUCACGCCGCCCGCCAAGGCCGGGGGAGGGGAGGUGGGCGAAGGGGCCCUUUUCUGGUCCGGGACUCCAUUUCCCAGCAGCCACCGGGAUGCCCGCUCUCGCGAGAGUUGGCCGGGAUCGCGCCCAGACUCCA